RNAcentral lists this ribosomal RNA (484 nucleotides) under uncultured bacterium. RNAcentral's name for it is "partial 16S ribosomal RNA". It matches the Rfam family "Bacterial small subunit ribosomal RNA", at positions 30 to 507 of the family's 1533-position model. The record is from RNAcentral.
AUUGAACGCUGGCGGCAGGCCUAACACAUGCAAGUCGAGCGGAUGAGAAGAGCUUGCUCUUCGAUUCAGCGGCGGACGGGUGAGUAAUGCCUAGGAAUCUGCCUGGUAGUGGGGGACAACGUUUCGAAAGGAACGCUAAUACCGCAUACGUCCUACGGGAGAAAGCAGGGGACCUUCGGGCCUUGCGCUAUCAGAUGAGCCUAGGUCGGAUUAGCUAGUUGGUGAGGUAAAGGCUCACCAAGGCGACGAUCCGUAACUGGUCUGAGAGGAUGAUCAGUCACACUGGAACUGAGACACGGUCCAGACUCCUACGGGAGGCAGCAGUGGGGAAUAUUGGACAAUGGGCGAAAGCCUGAUCCAGCCAUGCCGCGUGUGUGAAGAAGGUCUUCGGAUUGUAAAGCACUUUAAGUUGGGAGGAAGGGCAGUAAGUUAAUACCUUGCUGUUUUGACGUUACCGACAGAAUAAGCACCGGCUAACUCUGUG